CCCUGAGUCUUAGAUAUUUCAUCUGUCAAGAAGGGAUAUUAAUAAUACCAACAUCACAGUAUCAAAUGAAAUACUAAGUAUGAAAAGGCUACACAAAGCAAAGCACUAAACGUAUAUUAUUGCAACACCAGUAAAAUGAGAAUAAAUACCUUGUUUCUGUGAAUUUUCAGUGAGGUGGCAUGUAAUACGCCUGGUUCAGGACCUCAUACUUAGUACAGGCUCAAAAGAGAUCAAAAGUUAACAUGGACAAAGUGAAACAAACUGGAGAUGGGAGAUGGAGAAAUGUUGAAACAACAGCCACCACCACAACACGAGGUUUUCAAUCCAUCUACAAACAGAGCUUCUGUUCAGGAUGUCCAUGGGAAAACACAUGGGUGCACAUACAGAUGGCCAAAAGGGCUUGAAGAAAAGG
Molecule: long non-coding RNA, 412 nt
Organism: Fukomys damarensis (Damara mole-rat)
Lineage: Eukaryota; Metazoa; Chordata; Mammalia; Rodentia; Bathyergidae
Exons: 2
Source: RefSeq, a predicted model, not a curated record